This 306-nucleotide ribosomal RNA is filed under the name uncultured bacterium. Its description in RNAcentral is "bacterial SSU rRNA". It matches the Rfam family "Bacterial small subunit ribosomal RNA", at positions 28 to 333 of the family's 1533-position model. The record is from RNAcentral.
GACGAACGCUGGCGGCGUGCUUAACACAUGCAAGUCGAGCGGUAAGGCCCUUUCGGGGGUACACGAGCGGCGAACGGGUGAGUAACACGUGGGUGACCUGCCCUCAGCUCUGGGAUAAGCCUGGGAAACCGGGUCUAAUACCGGAUAUGACUCCAUGACGCAUGUUGGUGGGGUGGAAAGCCUUGUGCGGCUGAGGAUGGGCCCGCGGCCUAUCAGCUUGGUUGGUGGGGUGAUGGCCUACCAAGGCGACGACGGGUAGCCGGCCUGAGAGGGCGACCGGCCACACUGGGACUGAGACACGGCCCA